GGGGCGGCAGUAGCUCAGUCCAUAGGGACUUGGGUUGGGAACCGGAGGUUCGCCUGUUCGAGUCCCCGUCCGGACCAAAUAUGGAGCGUGGACUGGUGGCUGGAGAGGUGCCAGAUCACCUCCUGAGCACUGCUGAGGUGCACCAAACCCCCCCCAACCGCUCCGGGCACCUGACCAAGGCAGCCUCCUCACUCUGACAUCUCUCCACUCUGUGCAUGUAUAGGUCCUGUUUGUGCAUGUGUGUCUUUCAGACUUGUGUAUUAAUGACAAAAAGAGUGAAAAAAUUGAA
Molecule: long non-coding RNA, 289 nt
Organism: Epinephelus moara (kelp grouper)
Lineage: Eukaryota; Metazoa; Chordata; Actinopteri; Perciformes; Serranidae
Exons: 2
Source: RefSeq, a predicted model, not a curated record